AUUGAACGCUGGCGGCAGGCUUAACACAUGCAAGUCGAGCGGGGGAAGGUAGCUUGCUACCGGACCUAGCGGCGGACGGGUGAGUAAUGCUUAGGAAUCUGCCUAUUAGUGGGGGACAACAUCUCGAAAGGGAUGAUAAUACCGCAUACGUCCUAAGGGAGAAAGAAGGGGAUCUUCGGACCUUGCGCUAAUAGAUGAGCCUAAGUCGGAUUAGCUAGUUGGUGGGGUAAAGGCCUACCAAGGCGACGAUCUGUAGCGGGUCUGAGAGGAUGAUCCGCCACACUGGGACUGAGACACGGCCCAGACUCCUACGGGAGGCAGCAGUGGGGAAUAUUGGACAAUGGGGGGAACCCUGAUCCAGCCAUGCCGCGUGUGUGAAGAAGGCCUUAUGGUUGUAAAGCACUUUAAGCGAGGAGGAGGCUACUUUAGUUAAUACCUAGAGAUAGUGGACGUUACUCGCAGAAUAAGCACCGGCUAACUCUGUGCCAGCAGCCGCCGUAA
RNAcentral lists this ribosomal RNA (501 nucleotides) under uncultured bacterium. RNAcentral describes it as "partial 16S ribosomal RNA". It matches the Rfam family "Bacterial small subunit ribosomal RNA", at positions 30 to 523 of the family's 1533-position model. The record is from RNAcentral.